UAGCACUAUACUUUCAGGGAUAAUUUCUAUAGUUAAACUAGAGAAGUGCAUUCAAAAGUGGUUGGUCGAGCGGACCAUGAGGAAGAGUCAAAGUGUUCUCUCCCGAGUGUGAAGCAAGCGUGCAGUGCUGCAUUUAUGCAGCUGUUGCGUGCUAUCAAUGCUCGUUCUGGUUUCUUUAUUUUAAGGAGGCUGGAGGGAGAGUACAUAGAUGGA
Small nucleolar RNA from Elgaria multicarinata webbii, 213 nucleotides. RefSeq annotates it as small nucleolar RNA U3. Lineage: Eukaryota; Metazoa; Chordata; Lepidosauria; Squamata; Anguidae. The transcript has a single exon. The record is from RefSeq and is a predicted model, not a curated record.